This is an RNA transcript of Medicago truncatula (barrel medic), 1233 nucleotides long. RefSeq lists it as uncharacterized. The record is from RefSeq and is a predicted model, not a curated record. The transcript has 7 exons. NCBI's taxonomy places the organism in Eukaryota, Viridiplantae, Streptophyta, Magnoliopsida, Fabales, Fabaceae.
UUUUACUUAUUACUUAUGACUUUGUUUAUGUCAAAAUUAGGAAACUUUAACAUCAUGAAGAAUAAGAAAACAAAGACUAUCGAUGGCAAUUUAGGGCAUGUUUCCAAAAAAUUUCAUCGAUUCUACUUUGUCAAGCUUUCUUCAAUAGAUCCAGAAUCAAUAUCAAUAAUCAAAAAGGAAGAGAAAGUGAUUCAGAAAAUGAAUCAAGACAUUUGUGAAAUCACAGAAAUGAUCACAAAGAACGGGUCAAAAAGAGAUUAUCUGGAUUCUGUUUUGAAUCGGUUAAAAUUUUCACAACAUUAUCGGAUAUACUGUAUGGAGAAUAGAGAAAAGGUACUGAGAGGUUUAUAUAUGGCACUUGAUGAAUUGAAUUUCAGGAGUAUGAAAAAAGCAAAUGGAGGAUGCUUGGGGGAAAAGCUUGAUGAAAAUUCUUUGAGUUAUUUGAAGCUACAUGGAAGCAAAAGUUUGGCUGAGGAGAAACAAAUUCUGAGGGAUAUAAAAAUUCAACAGAAAGAGAAAGAGAAAGAGAAAGAUGUUGCUUCAUUCAAAUCACUAGAAGUGCUUAAGGAAACGAUAUCGGAUAGCGGGUGGAGUAUAUACUACUGUUGGAAAGUUAAAAACGUGGAGCAGAUUAAACGGAAGAAUGAUUUGGAUAAGCUCGUGAUAGAAAUUGAACAAUUUCAAGUCAAACAUAUGGAAAGACAUUCUGGUAAUGAUUUUGAGAAGGGAAAUAUUUCCAACUAUGAAUGCUUGAAGCAAACUAUAAAAUAUCAUAUUAAGUAUCUAUGUGAACGGAAGGAAUCUGAGACCAGAAUUAGAUAUUGUGUGAAAGAACAUGAAGACAUAAAUGCAAAAUUAUAUUCUUUGAGUGCAAAAUUGAUAGAGAAGCAUAAGAAUAAGGAUGAAGCAUAUCAAAGGAUUUUCAAAUUGAAAAAUAUAGUAUCAUGGUGAGGUUAGCUGCUUUAAGCUGGAAUGGUGAAGGUUCUUUUGCAUUUACGUCAAGCAGUGCUUCAUAUGAUGAGUGACUGAUGGCCGUCUUGGUAAGAGAUUAGACAACACAAGAACUCGCCAGGAAGUCGGCUGGGAGCCUAAGUAACCUUAGUUUUGCUCAUUUUCUCGCGAGCAUGUGACAGAUUCCUAAGUGCAUCUUUGCUGUUGGCUCUAAUUAAUGCGGAAGGAACAAUAGAGAGAGAGAUAUUAGGGAAUGCUUGCUGCAGACAGAAAGUUAAUACG